RNAcentral lists this long non-coding RNA (1523 nucleotides) under Chrysolophus pictus (golden pheasant). RNAcentral describes it as "lncRNA (ENSCPIG00010002981.1)". The record is from RNAcentral. Lineage: Eukaryota; Metazoa; Chordata; Aves; Galliformes; Phasianidae.
AUCACCAACACAAGGCUGCUGCACUCAGUCCAGCAGAACUUCUGCCCUCCCAAAAGACAUUUUUCUGCAGUCUUAAAAACAGAUAACAUGAGAACCCUGUUUUUGCACAAGUCUAAUGAUACCGUGUUUUCCACUGUUUUUUGCUUUCCACACCCUAGACAUAAUCCUACAGGGAAAGAAACAUCCCGCACCCCUCUCCUUUCUCCUCCUUCUCUUGCCCCCCUUGCUGUACUUACAGAAUUCAGAGUUUUCCAGCACAUUCCAGUUGUAGGCUGCAUAAAUAAAUACAGGGUAAAAACUUUGGGGAGCUUGGAGCUCUGCCAGCCUGCCUGGAUAACUGGACUUUUUGUGGAGCUGGAAGGGUGUUUUUUAAAGGGAGGAAAAAGAAAAAAAAGAAAAAAAAAGCACAGCUUCAGAAUCUUGGCUCAGCCUGGGCAUAUUUCCUCCUAGCUCUGGCUAAACCUCAGCACGAACUGCUGGACAGACAGACAGAGCAGUGUAUGCACAGCCUGGGAGGGAGCUCGCCGUGCUCUGCACCAGGACUAGAGCGGAGCGUGGGACCAUGCUGUUCAUCUGGGUGCUGGUGUUUGCUGGAGUCCUGCAGGAACAAGAGCUCUUCGCUGCUGCAGACCCUACCAGUCUGUUACCUGGAAGUUUGGGAAGCUGGUGCCAUGAACACGAUACAAUGCACGAACGCUUAGAUAUUAUUGAAGAGAAAGUAAUAAAAACUGUGGAGCAUCUAGAAUCAGAAGUCAAAUCACUCCUCAGUAUCAUCAGUGAGACAACAUCAGACCUCCCCAUCGCCGGAGGAACCCCACUGAUAGACAUUUUUGAUGGUAAGUAUUUAGUGGGACAUAAAGUAAACCAACAAGAAUGUUGCACGUGCUAUUCCGAAUGCCAUCUUCUUUCCACAUCAGAUGAGAAAUAACUCAUUCAUUCAGUUCAGUGCAGAGAAGGCAUCAGUUUAAAUACAGGGUUCAGUUCUGAACAAUGUCACAACCAGCACUAAAGAAAGGGGAACAAAAUAAGUGAACAAACCAGGCACAGAGCUAGAUGUAGGAGAUACAAAGAAAGGCUGAUCAACUGGGGAUAUUAGCAUUGUCCAAUUCAGUUUGAAAUGGCCCAUUUGAGUAAGGCUGCUGCAAAGUCAAAAGCUCCACUGUAAAAGUGGGUAAAACAAGAACCAAUGCAGCAAAACAGACUCAAGUAAAAGACAAUGUAUAUUUGAUCCAAGGCCAGUGAACCUCUGCAAUGAUGUCUGUAGUUUCCCCAGCACUAGAAAUGCUAGACAGCACUCUGUUCUCUUCAGUCUAUGCCCAUCAAUAGUUCAUUUAAAAGGCAAGAGACACUGCUGGCAGAGAGUAAACCUUGUGGAAAGGCAUGAGCAACACCCAGCUACUGUUAUGAACUCAGUUUUGUCAUUUUUUGUUAUUGCUGUAUGUAUAUAUACUCACAUAUUGUACUGCGCUUCAGUGAUACGAUGUGAGCUGAAAGCAGACAGCAGUACAAGGUAUGUUUUAGUU